CAAUGAACUGGAAGUUGAAGGAGC
RNAcentral lists this non-coding RNA (24 nucleotides) under Cricetulus griseus (Chinese hamster). Lineage: Eukaryota; Metazoa; Chordata; Mammalia; Rodentia; Cricetidae. The record is from RNAcentral.